ACGGGUGAGUAACGCGUGGGUAACCUGCCCUUAUAUCGGGGAUAACUUGCCGAAAGGUGAGCUAAUACCGGAUGACCUAUCGAGAUUGCAUAAUUUUGAUAGCAAAGGCGGCCUCUAUUUAUAAGCUGCCGUAUAAGGAUGGACCCGCGUCUGAUUAGCUAGUUGGUGAGGUAACGGCUCACCAAGGCGACGAUCAGUAGCCGGCCUGAGAGGGUGAACGGCCACACUGGGACUGAGACACGGCCCAGACUCCUACGGGAGGCAGCAGUGGGGAAUCUUCCGCAAUGGACGAAAGUCUGACGGAGCAACGCCGCGUGAGUGAAGAAGGUCUUCGGAUUGUAAAACUCUGUUUUUUGGGAAGAACGGUCUCUAUGUGAAUAAUGUAGAGAAUUGACGGUACCAAAGGAGGAAGCCCCGGCUAACUACGUGCCAGCAGCCGCGGUAAUACGUAGGGGGCAAGCGUUGUCCGGAAUUAUUGGGCGUAAAGAGCGCGCAGGCGGCUAUUUAAGUCUACCGUGAAAGCUUACGGCUCAACCGUAACAGGCCGGUGGAUACUGGAUGGCUUGAGGGCAGGAGAGGAAAGUGGA
Molecule: ribosomal RNA, 587 nt
Filed under: uncultured bacterium
Lineage: Bacteria
Description: bacterial SSU rRNA
Rfam family: Bacterial small subunit ribosomal RNA
Source: RNAcentral